RNAcentral lists this ribosomal RNA (2933 nucleotides) under Escherichia coli. RNAcentral's name for it is "bacterial LSU rRNA". It matches the Rfam family "Bacterial large subunit ribosomal RNA". Lineage: Bacteria; Pseudomonadati; Pseudomonadota; Gammaproteobacteria; Enterobacterales; Enterobacteriaceae. The record is from RNAcentral.
GGGUUGUGAGGUUAAGCGACUAAGCGUACACGGUGGAUGCCCUGGCAGUCAGAGGCGAUGAAGGACGUGCUAAUCUGCGAUAAGCGUCGGUAAGGUGAUAUGAACCGUUAUAACCGGCGAUUUCCGAAUGGGGAAACCCAGUGUGAUUCGUCACACUAUCAUUAACUGAAUCCAUAGGUUAAUGAGGCGAACCGGGGGAACUGAAACAUCUAAGUACCCCGAGGAAAAGAAAUCAACCGAGAUUCCCCCAGUAGCGGCGAGCGAACGGGGAGGAGCCCAGAGCCUGAAUCAGUGUGUGUGUUAGUGGAAGCGUCUGGAAAGGCGCGCGAUACAGGGUGACAGCCCCGUACACAAAAAUGCACAUGCUGUGAGCUCGAUGAGUAGGGCGGGACACGUGGUAUCCUGUCUGAAUAUGGGGGGACCAUCCUCCAAGGCUAAAUACUCCUGACUGACCGAUAGUGAACCAGUACCGUGAGGGAAAGGCGAAAAGAACCCCGGCGAGGGGAGUGAAAAAGAACCUGAAACCGUGUACGUACAAGCAGUGGGAGCACGCUUAGGCGUGUGACUGCGUACCUUUUGUAUAAUGGGUCAGCGACUUAUAUUCUGUAGCAAGGUUAACCGAAUAGGGGAGCCGAAGGGAAACCGAGUCUUAACUGGGCGUUAAGUUGCAGGGUAUAGACCCGAAACCCGGUGAUCUAGCCAUGGGCAGGUUGAAGGUUGGGUAACACUAACUGGAGGACCGAACCGACUAAUGUUGAAAAAUUAGCGGAUGACUUGUGGCUGGGGGUGAAAGGCCAAUCAAACCGGGAGAUAGCUGGUUCUCCCCGAAAGCUAUUUAGGUAGCGCCUCGUGAAUUCAUCUCCGGGGGUAGAGCACUGUUUCGGCAAGGGGGUCAUCCCGACUUACCAACCCGAUGCAAACUGCGAAUACCGGAGAAUGUUAUCACGGGAGACACACGGCGGGUGCUAACGUCCGUCGUGAAGAGGGAAACAACCCAGACCGCCAGCUAAGGUCCCAAAGUCAUGGUUAAGUGGGAAACGAUGUGGGAAGGCCCAGACAGCCAGGAUGUUGGCUUAGAAGCAGCCAUCAUUUAAAGAAAGCGUAAUAGCUCACUGGUCGAGUCGGCCUGCGCGGAAGAUGUAACGGGGCUAAACCAUGCACCGAAGCUGCGGCAGCGACGCUUAUGCGUUGUUGGGUAGGGGAGCGUUCUGUAAGCCUGUGAAGGUGUACUGUGAGGUAUGCUGGAGGUAUCAGAAGUGCGAAUGCUGACAUAAGUAACGAUAAAGCGGGUGAAAAGCCCGCUCGCCGGAAGACCAAGGGUUCCUGUCCAACGUUAAUCGGGGCAGGGUGAGUCGACCCCUAAGGCGAGGCCGAAAGGCGUAGUCGAUGGGAAACAGGUUAAUAUUCCUGUACUUGGUGUUACUGCGAAGGGGGGACGGAGAAGGCUAUGUUGGCCGGGCGACGGUUGUCCCGGUUUAAGCGUGUAGGCUGGUUUUCCAGGCAAAUCCGGAAAAUCAAGGCUGAGGCGUGAUGACGAGGCACUACGGUGCUGAAGCAACAAAUGCCCUGCUUCCAGGAAAAGCCUCUAAGCAUCAGGUAACAUCAAAUCGUACCCCAAACCGACACAGGUGGUCAGGUAGAGAAUACCAAGGCGCUUGAGAGAACUCGGGUGAAGGAACUAGGCAAAAUGGUGCCGUAACUUCGGGAGAAGGCACGCUGAUAUGUAGGUGAAGUCCCUCGCGGAUGGAGCUGAAAUCAGUCGAAGAUACCAGCUGGCUGCAACUGUUUAUUAAAAACACAGCACUGUGCAAACACGAAAGUGGACGUAUACGGUGUGACGCCUGCCCGGUGCCGGAAGGUUAAUUGAUGGGGUUAGCGCAAGCGAAGCUCUUGAUCGAAGCCCCGGUAAACGGCGGCCGUAACUAUAACGGUCCUAAGGUAGCGAAAUUCCUUGUCGGGUAAGUUCCGACCUGCACGAAUGGCGUAAUGAUGGCCAGGCUGUCUCCACCCGAGACUCAGUGAAAUUGAACUCGCUGUGAAGAUGCAGUGUACCCGCGGCAAGACGGAAAGACCCCGUGAACCUUUACUAUAGCUUGACACUGAACAUUGAGCCUUGAUGUGUAGGAUAGGUGGGAGGCUUUGAAGUGUGGACGCCAGUCUGCAUGGAGCCGACCUUGAAAUACCACCCUUUAAUGUUUGAUGUUCUAACGUUGACCCGUAAUCCGGGUUGCGGACAGUGUCUGGUGGGUAGUUUGACUGGGGCGGUCUCCUCCUAAAGAGUAACGGAGGAGCACGAAGGUUGGCUAAUCCUGGUCGGACAUCAGGAGGUUAGUGCAAUGGCAUAAGCCAGCUUGACUGCGAGCGUGACGGCGCGAGCAGGUGCGAAAGCAGGUCAUAGUGAUCCGGUGGUUCUGAAUGGAAGGGCCAUCGCUCAACGGAUAAAAGGUACUCCGGGGAUAACAGGCUGAUACCGCCCAAGAGUUCAUAUCGACGGCGGUGUUUGGCACCUCGAUGUCGGCUCAUCACAUCCUGGGGCUGAAGUAGGUCCCAAGGGUAUGGCUGUUCGCCAUUUAAAGUGGUACGCGAGCUGGGUUUAGAACGUCGUGAGACAGUUCGGUCCCUAUCUGCCGUGGGCGCUGGAGAACUGAGGGGGGCUGCUCCUAGUACGAGAGGACCGGAGUGGACGCAUCACUGGUGUUCGGGUUGUCAUGCCAAUGGCACUGCCCGGUAGCUAAAUGCGGAAGAGAUAAGUGCUGAAAGCAUCUAAGCACGAAACUUGCCCCGAGAUGAGUUCUCCCUGACUCCUUGAGAGUCCUGAAGGAACGUUGAAGACGACGACGUUGAUAGGCCGGGUGUGUAAGCGCAGCGAUGCGUUGAGCUAACCGGUACUAAUGAACCGUGAGGCUUAACCUUACAACGCCGAAGGGGUUUUG